This 289-nucleotide ribosomal RNA is filed under the name uncultured Phenylobacterium sp. Its description in RNAcentral is "partial 16S ribosomal RNA". It matches the Rfam family "Bacterial small subunit ribosomal RNA", at positions 67 to 386 of the family's 1533-position model. The record is from RNAcentral. Lineage: Bacteria; Pseudomonadati; Pseudomonadota; Alphaproteobacteria; Caulobacterales; Caulobacteraceae.
CGCCCCUUCGGGGGAGUGGCGGACGGGUGAGUAACGCGUGGGAAUAUGCCCUAUGGUGCGGAACAACUGAGGGAAACUUCAGCUAAUACCGCAUGUGCCCUACGGGGGAAAGAUUUAUCGCCAUAGGAGUAGCCCGCGUUGGAUUAGCUAGUUGGUGGGGUAAUGGCUCACCAAGGCUACGAUCCAUAGCUGGUCUGAGAGGAUGAUCAGCCACACUGGGACUGAGACACGGCCCAGACUCCUACGGGAGGCAGCAGUAGGGAAUCUUGCGCAAUGGGCGAAAGCCUGA